AGCGAACGCUGGCGGCAGGCCUAACACAUGCAAGUCGAACGAACUCUUCGGAGUUAGUGGCGGACGGGUGAGUAACACGUGGGAACGUGCCUUUAGGUUCGGAAUAACUCAGGGAAACUUGUGCUAAUACCGAAUGUGCCCUUCGGGGGAAAGAUUUAUCGCCUUUAGAGCGGCCCGCGUCUGAUUAGCUAGUUGGUGAGGUAACGGCUCACCAAGGCGACGAUCAGUAGCUGGUCUGAGAGGAUGGCCAGCCACACUGGGACUGAGACACGGCCCAGGCUCCUACGGGAGGCAGCAGUGGGGAAUCUUGCGCAAUGGGCGAAAGCCUGACGCAGCCAUGCCGCGUGAAUGAUGAAGGUCUUAGGAUUGUAAAAUUCUUUCACCGGGGACGAUAAUGACGGUACCCGGAGAAGAAGCCCCGGCUAACUUCGUGCCAGCCGCCGCAGUAA
RNAcentral lists this ribosomal RNA (449 nucleotides) under uncultured bacterium. Its description in RNAcentral is "partial 16S ribosomal RNA". It matches the Rfam family "Bacterial small subunit ribosomal RNA", at positions 29 to 523 of the family's 1533-position model. The record is from RNAcentral.